UUUAAUUUAAAAAUUAAUAUAAUCCUAUACUUAAUCCUAACAUCCAAACAUGCCCUUAUAUGAUAAUAAACUGGGACUGAAACUCGAAAGUUGAGUUGAUCGUAUCUUCCAUACGCACAAAUGAACGAAUCCAUUAGAGUCACGAUAGCAGUAAUAGGAUGAGAAUGAUACUAGCCAAACAAUGUGGUGGCGUGGGGCCAUAAUUUUGACAAUGAUCCCCCUCUCUUCUUGUUCGGUCUGAAACAGACGUCGCUGUUGGACUGAAGCUAGUCGUCGAAUGCAACUAAAGUCGUCGCAGGGAAUCUCUCGUUGCUUUUGUUGUUUUUAAUCUUCUAAUUAGUUCCACGAACCGGUGGUCUUCAUCACUCGCGCCUUAGCAUUAUUACGUACGUACUAGGCUUUGACUGACGAAUGAUUAUGAAUGUCACCAAGUCAGCAACCGAACACAACGAUUAUAUUAUAGAGUAGGGAGAGUUACAGAGAAAUAUGAAAGUGUAGAAAAAUAUGAGAGAAAGAAGAGAGAAAUUUGUCUUUUCUCUCUACUCAUCCACACUCAUUUUUUUUUUUAAAUUAUAUUAUACAUAGAUUGUUACUCACAUUAUAUCAGAUAUUAUAAUUAAUAUUUACAAUCAUACUAUACAAUUGGAAUCGCCGUCAAAUAUUGACACACUGAAGUACUUGUCCAGAUACUUUAAAUCCUUUCAAAUAUUCGAGAGGUGCCUACUCCACUCACAUUUCGUAAGGCAAAGACUGUCUCCACUUAAUUAUGUUGAUGAUUGAAGGAGUACUGAAAUUAACUUCCAUAAAGUUUUUAUGGAGGCUCGAACCUUUACACUCAACAUUGUAAAUGCAAAACUUAGCCCAUUGGUCCAUUUUCUUCUUUAUUCUCUCAUAUUUCUCUA
Molecule: long non-coding RNA, 902 nt
Filed under: Citrus x clementina
Lineage: Eukaryota; Viridiplantae; Streptophyta; Magnoliopsida; Sapindales; Rutaceae
Description: Citrus clementina (C. clementina) long non-coding RNA (CCLE_LNC003116)
Source: RNAcentral